GAACUGAAGAGUUUGAUCAUGGCUCAGAUUGAACGCUGGCGGCAGGCCUAACACAUGCAAGUCGAGCGGAUGAAAGGAGCUUGCUCCUGGAUUCAGCGGCGGACGGGUGAGUAAUGCCUAGGAAUCUGCCUGGUAGUGGGGGAUAACGUCCGGAAACGGGCGCUAAUACCGCAUACGUCCUGAGGGAGAAAGUGGGGGAUCUUCGGACCUCACGCUAUCAGAUGAGCCUAGGUCGGAUUAGCUAGUUGGUGGGGUAAAGGCCUACCAAGGCGACGAUCCGUAACUGGUCUGAGAGGAUGAUCAGUCACACUGGAACUGAGACA
RNAcentral lists this ribosomal RNA (323 nucleotides) under Pseudomonas aeruginosa. RNAcentral describes it as "bacterial SSU rRNA". It matches the Rfam family "Bacterial small subunit ribosomal RNA", at positions 1 to 326 of the family's 1533-position model. The record is from RNAcentral. Lineage: Bacteria; Pseudomonadati; Pseudomonadota; Gammaproteobacteria; Pseudomonadales; Pseudomonadaceae.